Molecule: long non-coding RNA, 1333 nt
Filed under: Helianthus annuus (common sunflower)
Lineage: Eukaryota; Viridiplantae; Streptophyta; Magnoliopsida; Asterales; Asteraceae
Source: RNAcentral
UAAGUUCAAUCUUCAUUCCAAUAACCAUGCGAUUGUUAUCCGACCCAUUCGUUCUCUCCCUACCAGAGCAGGCUACCGACCAGACCACCACCGCCACAACCGACGCUCUUCCAUAUCUGCUGGUGAUCAACACCGAUUGGCAUCGCCGUCGCUACCGAUCGUCUUCCAUUUGCUGAUGCUGAUCAUCGUUGAUUGAAGCGGCCGGCGGAUUCCAAACCAGAUGGAAAUAAGUUGAAGGAUACCAAAACUUAUAGUUUUCAAAAGAUAUUCUUAAUCACAGUACUAAUCGGAAAAGAUAUGAUCCACGGACCGCGAUGAUGCCGCAAUGUGGUGCUUGAAUCGGGAAAUGAUUGGUGGCCAAUAUACAAUGCUGAACGGCAACAGAAAUCUGCCAUAAAAGGGCACUGAAUGAGACAACAUUGUCAUGCGUCCUAGGGUAGUUUCGGGAGCAAAUCAUGGUGUAUGGAGGCAGCAGCAAUGUGGGUUGUUCGUGGUUGUGUGGGAGGUGCCUCGGAGCUGCAAACGGUGGUCAAAUAACAUCGGAUAGUAGGGGUAACGGCUAGCGUAACAGAACAACAAAUGGGAUAGCAACGAUGUGUAAUCAGGUGCAAACGGUGGUCAAAUAACAUCGGAUAGUAGGGGUAAUGACUAGCGUAACAGAACAGUAAAUGUGUGAUCAGGUGCAGUUUUGGGAUCGAUUAUGGGUCGAAUUAUGAGGAACAAUGCAGCAACAAGUCGGGAUCUUUGACAUUUGUGUGGGAGUGCUUUGCGACUGCUAACAGUUUCUAAACAACCAUUAUAAGCGAUAGUAGCGUCUGCCAGAAAAGAUCAUAAACAGGACGCCAUGUUCAAGUGAUUCGGGGUUGGUUUCGGGGCCGAAUCAUAGUUUACAAACUGUGAGUUUGUAAGGUAUUCAAAGGGUACGUUAAAGUGCCCAUCUUCUUAAGGGCAUUGGCUGGUGCUUUAAUCGACCAAAAGAGAGGGGAUCAUUAGAGGUGCUGCAGUUGCAACGCAAUCUCGAUUCAAUUCAUUGCCAACGCUAACUGUGUGCAGCUGUUACUGCCUGCCGUCAUUGACCUAUCUCAUCUUUGCCAUCAGUUCUAACCUCAUCUUUGUCAUGAGUUUUAGGUGUUAGCAUGCCAAGUUCUGAUAAACAUUCUGCAGGAAAACAUUUUAUACAACUUCGUUUUGUACAUUCUUGAUAUAUAGGCUAGGCGAUGUUUUAUGGAACGUUGAUGUAACAAACACUUGGGUUUUAUCACCUGUGAUGCAUAUGAAAUGGAUCCCCGCCGCAUCGCGGCGGGUGAUAAAUCUAGUUAAAAUCAUUACAUAA